Molecule: long non-coding RNA, 2944 nt
Filed under: Macaca mulatta (Rhesus monkey)
Lineage: Eukaryota; Metazoa; Chordata; Mammalia; Primates; Cercopithecidae
Description: lncRNA (ENSMMUG00000057737.1)
Source: RNAcentral
CCAAGCCCUCCAUGACCCAGGGACCUGACCUGGCCUUGCUGCUCCCUCAUCUGCCCGCUGGGCCCGGUGCAACACUGAGCACCUGACCCAUGGGGGCUGCCCUGCCCCACAGAAGGCAAGAGGCCCGGCGGCCCUGUCUGGGCUGGGGACUGUGGGAGGGUCUUGGGAGCAAAGCCCCGGGGAGGGGCCCCAGCAGGACCUCAGGUCCCCAUGCUUGCUCCCACCCAAGGUGCACCCUGGCACCAGAGCUCCCCACGAGGCCUCAGCUGGGUGGUCUCUUGGGACGCUCUAAACAGAUGGGCCAUGCUGCCCACACCCUCCCCUGCCUGCAGGUCGCUACCCACCCUGGCCUGGGAAGACCAGCCCUGCCCGCUUCACCAGACUCCAGGAGCCACUGUGCCCGGGACAAGGCUGCAUGUCCCACUCAGUGCCAAUUUUCAGGGCACUAGGAGAAGGGACUAGCCUAGCCCUCGGGCCAUGCCUGCCAGCACAGCCUGCAUAGCCACCCACCCCUGCCUCUCCAGGCCUCCCAGGAGACAGAGCCACAGUAAGAAGCCGAAGGUGGGAGCUUCAAAGAGCUCGGUGCACAUACAUCAAACGCCACCCAGGGAGACCCGCCACGAAGCCGGACGCGUGAUGCCUGCGCUGGAACCUCCUGCAACGUUGGUGACAGCAGCGCAUCGAGUUUCCUGGGUGCCCAGGGAGACCGCACCGCUGCACCCUCGGAGCACGAGGCAGACACUCAAAGCCGGGCUCCAGAGGAAAAGUCAAAGGUUCAAAGGGACCAAGCAGCCAGCAUCAUCCAGGGCCCCGGCGUGGGCACGUCUGGGGAGGCAGUCAGUGGCUCUGAGGGGUUUGGGGAGCAGGCAGGGGCUCUGCCUAACCCAGGCACACAAAGGCACAAAGAAGCGGGGAGAGGCGGAUGGCAAUGCCGGAUCUGAUUUUCUCCCUUGUCGUUUUCUGUAUUUUCCAAAGUAUCUCCUCUGAGUGAGUCUUGCUUUCAUGAUCACGGAAAAAAGAAACAUAUAAGAGCCGCCAACAUCAGAGCUGGCGUAGAGUCAGAGGGAAAACGCAGAUCUGAGUGCACUUUGAAGUCAGAAAGCCCCCAGGGAGGCUCCUAUUGUGCGGACACACUGUUCCCACCUGUGCCAGCCUCAAGGCGCCGAGGCUGAGCCGCUCCAGCUCCAGCUCAGUGAGAAUGGGGGCACACAUACUCCAGCAGCCCUGAGCCCCAAGGACCACAGCCUCCCGCUGGAGCACUCCAGGGGACAGGAUCACACCAGCCCGGAUAGGCCUCAGCAGCCCCCCACCAAGUAGGGUCGUGCUGCCAGUCUCAUCCAUAUGGAGAUGCCAGGGAGGGCCCACCAGCCCUCAGAGGCCAGGUGCACAUGCGGUCAGCCCUACAAAACCUGCCUGCUCCCAGCACCACCACCCACACCACAGCACACUGGUCCUCCCCGGACACCUGAGCAUGUACACAGCAGGGGCCGGGAGCUGAGCUGGGAGGGGAACAGUGGAAGGAGGACCCCCUUUUACCCCCCUUUACCCUCACUGGCUCAGUAUUAGGGGACAGCCCGAAGAAGGCUCUCACCUCUGAGUUCAAUAAGCUGCCCGAUCCUCCCAGAGGGAAACACGGCCCCAACCUCAGGGACAGGACGGGGCAAGGGCAGGCACCUGAAGCCCAGCCAUGGGCACUGGUGGGUCACAGGCGGGGAGGGUCCCCAGGUUCUUCCACCCAGCCCGUGUGUGCAUUGGGAAGAGAAGGGGGCACCGCCACAGACCCCUCCCCACCUGACCGACAGGAAAGACCUCCAGGCACCUCUUAGGGGCAGCUCCUGUGACAGCCCCCCCAGAGGGGGCAGCUGGGGACCCUCCCUGCUGUGGGAGGGCAGUGGUGUCCAUUCAUGCAAGCCUGCACAGCGGGCUCUGACCCUCCGCCUCUGGCAUCUGGCCCCAGGCACUGAGAGGCUCAGGGAUCAGGAGUUGGGGCUCCCAGAGCCUGGAGGGUGCACUGUCCAGGCAGCUCAGACCCUCGACAUGCCCAGCAGGGGUUCCCAGGCCCAGGGCGCUGAGUGUGGGAGCCGGGUGCACACUCCAGGCUGCGCCAUGGGCCCGGCCACGUGCCCAGCAGUUAUUUGCAUUCUUCCCCACCCGUUAGCCCCGGGAGCUGGAUCAAGCUGCUCUAAAUGAAAGCCCGUUACCACGGAUACACGAGAACUGGGGUAAGACAAAUUGCACAGGGGAUGGGGGUGCCGUCAGCCAUGAGGGGCCAGCAGCACACGGAGCUGGCCCCAGUGCUGUCCCACGGCCCCCAACCUGGGCCCUCUGCUGUCCACCUGCCCCAGUUCCAGCCGGAGUGCUCAGUUCUUCACCCUCAAGCUGCACUCCCAAGCAGAGUCGACCCCCGUCCCCAUCACCGCCCACGGCUUCAGGGCUGAGGGUGUGAGCCAGGAAGAUGAGAGAGUCGCCAGCCAGGCGUCAGCCCCAGCAUCCUGGGGUCCUCACCGCCUCAUCUGCAGAGUCGGGCCUGGCCUCACUGUGGGUGGCCAUGGCCAUGAAUCCCAGAGGAGGUAGCACAAAGCUGAUGCCUCGUAAAUGCGCGAGGUUCCAUGCAAGCCUCCCUACCCGGGACCCCGAAACCCAAUAGGCCAGGACUGAGCCUGUCCUGGAGCAGGCCGGAGGCCCACACCACCUGGGGCACCUUGCCAACCACCGCCCUAAUGUGCACAGGUAACUGAGCUCACAUCAGUGGUGUCAGGCACCGACUCAAGGGGAUGGGACACGAUUCAGGCUCAACCAAGAAGGAGCCUCCCAGAAAGACCCCCAGGAUGAGGGUAGGCCAGCACUCAGCACAAGACUGCCCUCCCUCAGCAUCCACCAACCAGGCAUGGGGUGGGGACAGUGACAAGUGGUAGGGACAGAGUCAGGGACUGUGAUGAGGGGC